RNAcentral lists this long non-coding RNA (248 nucleotides) under Gossypium barbadense (sea-island cotton). Its description in RNAcentral is "long non-coding RNA (GBAR_LNC009282)". The record is from RNAcentral. Lineage: Eukaryota; Viridiplantae; Streptophyta; Magnoliopsida; Malvales; Malvaceae.
UAUAAAGAAAAGAUUGGUGCAGUGGCCAACAGUAGGAUGUGGAACGCAGGGAUAGGAGGAGGUUUGGAGUUCGAGCUGCUGUGCGCGCGGAGGACCAAUUUUGUUGCUCGCGUGGGGAAGGAGUUGGAGUCUGAUCAAGACUCUCUUAACGGCGUGCUGAAGCGGUGCAAGGGGUGGAUAAGGCUGCUAAACGGUGGGAAGGAGUUUGAAUAAAAUUCAAACUGUGCUAAGGGCUAAAAUUAAGGAGC